Molecule: ribosomal RNA, 462 nt
Filed under: uncultured bacterium
Lineage: Bacteria
Description: partial 16S ribosomal RNA
Rfam family: Bacterial small subunit ribosomal RNA
Source: RNAcentral
CCUACGGGUGGCAGCAGUAGGGAAUAUUGCUCAAUGGGGGAAACCCUGAACCAGCCAAGUAGCGUGCAGGAUGACGGCCCUCCGGGUUGUAAACUGCUUUUAGUUGGGAAUAAAAGGGGGCUCGUGAGCCCCGUAUUGUAUGUACCAUCAGAAAAAGGACCGGCUAAUUCCGUGCCAGCAGCCGCGGUAAUACGGCAGGUCCGGGCGUUAUCCGGAUUUAUUGGGUUUAAAGGGAGCGUAGGCCGGCUUUUAAGUCAGCUGUGAAAGUCCGCGGCUCAACCGUGGAAUUGCAGUUGAAACUGGAUGCCUUGAGUGCACACAGGGAUGCCGGAAUUCAUGGUGUAGCGGUGAAAUGCUUAGAUAUCAUGAAGAACUCCGAUCGCGAAGGCAAGUGUCCGGGGUUCAACUGACGCUGAGGCUCGAAAGUGCGGGUAUCAAACAGGAUUAGAUACCCGGGUAGUC